GGAUUGGGAGGGUUCUACGGAACCCGUUUGGUGAAUCUAGUGCCGAGAAAAGCCUUCUAUGUGUUGAAUUUCUAGUACCCGUACCCCAAACCGACACAGGUGGGUGGGUAGAGCAUACCUAGGGGCGCGUGAUAACUCUCUCUAAGGAACUCGGCAAAAUGGCCCUGUAACUUCGGGAUAAGGGGUGCCUGCGUGAGCAGGCCGCAGUGAAAUGGCUCUGGCGACUGUUUACCAAAAACACAGGUCUCUGCUAAGUCGUAAGACGAUGUAUAGGGGCUGACUCCUGCCCAGUGCCGGAAGGUUAAGGAAGUUGGUUAGCGCAAGCGAAGCUGGCGACCGAAGCCCCGGUGAACGGCGGCCGUAACGAUAACGGUCCUAAGGUAGCGAAAUUCCUUGUCGGGUAAGUUCCGACCCGCACGAAAGGAGUAACGAUCAGAGCGCUGUCUCGGAGAGAGACACGGCGAAAUAGGAUUGUCCGUGAAGAUACGGACUACCUGCACCCGGACAGAAAGACCCUAUGAAGCUUUACUGUAACUUGGAAUUGUGUUCGGACUUUGUCUGCGCAGAAUAGGUGGGAGGCUAUGAAACGUUCCUCGCGGGGAACUGGAGCCAUCGUUGAGAUACCACUCUGGCAGAGUCUGGAUUCUAACCUACGGGGACAGUUCCAGGUGGGCAGUUUGACUGGGGCGGUCGCCUCCUAAAAUGUAACGGAGGCGCGCAAAGGUUCCCUCAGGCUGGUUGGAAAUCAGCCAUAGAGUGUAAAAGCAUAAGGGAGCUUGACUGUGAGACCUACAAGUCGAGCAGGGACGAAAGUCGGCUUUAGUGAUCCGACGGCACUGAGUGGAAGGGCCGUCGCUCAACGGAUAAAAGUUACUCUAGGAUAACAGGCUGAUCUCCCCCAAGAGUUCACAUCGACGGGGAGGUUUGGCACCUCGAUGUCGGCUCGUCGCAACCUGGGGCGGUAGUACGUCCCAAGGGUUGGGCUGUUCGCCCAUUAAAGCGGCACGUGAGCUGGGUUCAGAACGUCGUGAGACAGUUCGGUCCAUAUCCGGUGUAGGCGUAGGAGCAUUGAAGGGAUCUCUCCUUAGUACGAGAGGACCGGGAGGGACGUACCUCUGGUGUACCUGUUAUCGUGCCAACGGUAAACGCAGGGUAGCCAUGUACGGAGUGGAUAACCGCUGAAAGCAUCUAAGUGGGAAGCCCACCUUAAGAUGAGUGCUCCCUUGAGGCCACGGGAAGACGACCCGUUUGAUAGGCGCUAGGUGGAAGUGCAGUAAUGCAUGCAGCCGAGGCGUACUAAUAGGCCGAUGGCUUGUCC
RNAcentral lists this ribosomal RNA (1318 nucleotides) under metagenome. RNAcentral describes it as "bacterial LSU rRNA". It matches the Rfam family "Bacterial large subunit ribosomal RNA", at positions 1563 to 2925 of the family's 2925-position model. The record is from RNAcentral.